Long non-coding RNA from Dermochelys coriacea (leatherback sea turtle), 2584 nucleotides. RefSeq lists it as uncharacterized. The transcript is spliced from 2 exons. Lineage: Eukaryota; Metazoa; Chordata; Testudines; Dermochelyidae. The record is from RefSeq and is a predicted model, not a curated record.
CUACAGGCAAGACUAUGAGGAAGGACUCAGGGCAUGGGCUGGAAAACAGUGAGUAGGGAUUAGACUCAUGAAGAGGGGGAGUUUGGCUGAAAAGGUUUGGUUAAAGUGUACCUAAAUACCCAGUCUUUUGGAGGCCCCUUUUGGCAUUGGAGUCUUAUUUUAAUGAUAAUUAACUGUACAUGUUUUUUAAAACAGUGCCUUUAUUGUUUUUGUCGAUGCACCCUACUGUUUUCAGUACAGUGAUGGGAGCUUGCUUAGUAACUUGUAGAAAAGUGGAGCUUUUCUUUCAGCUUAAGUAAGAUGUAAAUAACAUAUACAGUACACUUAGGUGAUCUGGUGGCCUACUUCGCUGCCAUGCAGGGAAUUGAAGUUGAGGAUCUCAGCUAGCAUAAGCUGGAAGCACUGAAGGCAGCGUGCUUCACAGUCUUAUGUCACUCCCCAGCAAAUCCCUCUGGCUGGCUGAAGGAGUUCAUUGCUUUCAAAGAGCUUCCUGAAUGAGGACUGCAGUAGGCUUACUCAAAUGCUGGAUUCCCGAUCAAAACUCUAAUGGCACAGAGCAAUUGGUAGCAUGUAAUGACCUUCUGCACUAUCAGUUGAGUCUUUUGGGCAUUGAAAUUGAUUUUCCUUAUCUUGGCAUGUGAAGACAGGAGUCUGAUUCUCCUCAGAUCUCUAACGAAUAUUUUAUGGCACACACCAACAGCACAGGAUAUCUAGUCAACAGCUUUCUGGGCAUCCAAGUGGCGGGAUUAGUGGCUGCCCAGAGGCUGGUCUCUUAAACAACUUAUUCUCAUGUAGGUGGCUACCUUUUAUGCCCUGAUCUUGCAAACACACGUGUUUAGUCUUAACCAUGUGAAUAGUCCCACUGAAGUCAAUAAGACUACUCAUGUUAAAGUUAAGCAUAUUUAUGUUUGCAAGAUCAGGGUCCUCAUUACAGAAGACCAAUAAAGGCUAGUUGGUGUGAAGACUGAAAUAUUUUCUGCAUGUAGUCCUAUAAAGGGAAACUUCUAUGUAUUUGAAAUCGCUUUUCAAAUAUAUGGUGUCCAAAUUUCUGAUUUAGGCUGAUGCAUACUUGCUUAUUUCAGGGUAUUCACAUGAAGGAGAGAUACUAAUUAAUGCAAAGUUUCCAACCACAAAGAUCCACUGGGAAAUAAAAUACUUGGGUAAAUACCAACCAAAAAAACUCAGUAGAAUUUGCAGUAUGUCACAGAAUGACUCUUACCAAGUUUAAAAUUUUUAAAGAUAUUCUUCAGUAAAUGUUCAACUCUCAUUCUCAAUAAAGUCUUUAAAAGAACUAUAAUAGAAGUACUUCAGCAAUAAUUUCAAGUUUGGGGUGUGUUUUCCAUUUAUUUCAACUCUCCUUUUUUAAUCUUUUAUUGCUAAUGUACAAACAUUUCAUUUAUAAGAAGCUAAAUUAAACUACGUAAGAAGAAUGUGCCUCACAUGGGUUUUAAACUUUAAAAAGCUGCUUUGUUCAUUGAUUCAGUUGUGAAAAACACACACAACAUAGACAUAAGGCUAUUUGAACUCUUUAUUUGCCACAUUUACAAUAUUAAUAACACUGUUUCUAGAAGUUGUCACAUCAUGUAAAAGAUCUUCAUUCCAGACUGUCUUUUGGGGCCAAAUUGAGACUGGAUGCAUGCAUUUAAUAAAUUGUAGUCUCAAGUAGUCAUUUUUGUAAAUAAUUAGCUUCAGUGAAAGAAUAAGUUAGCAUAUUGUAUGCAUCUAAUGUUGCAAAUGUACAUACAGCAAACUUUCCUAUUAAUCAACAGUCAAGCACUGUAAGUUGGGUCUCAUACAUAAUGAAUUGUGCUUAAACCUCAUGGGUUUCAUUGAUAGAAAAAUAAGAGAAAACACAAGUGUAGUAAGCUUCUGAAUAAAAUUUAACUAGAUUGCUCUGCAUCCUGUAAUUGUUUUCAAAUCAUUAGGGACUAGAUAAUUCAUCUGCAGUUUUGGGGUUUUUUUGUCUUCAUCUAUCAAAGAAAGAAUAUUUAUAUGACGUUAAGAUAUUGAUUAAAUACAUUUUUUUAAAAUGUUCGCAUUGAAGUUUGACAGUACAUCUCCUAGCUAAACAUAUUUUUCAAUUUUAUACAUCUUUCUUUAAGAAAAUCUGGUUGGCUGAGUGAAUAUUUGAAGUUUUGUUUCAAUGCUAGUUUCAUGCUUUAAUUACUACUGAGUUGUACAUGUGAAAAAUAUGAUUCCGCCCAUUUCUGUAAGCAAAAACCAUUUUGAUGCAUAGGCUUUGAAACUUGUACUUAAUGGAUGAUAUAAAUAAAGAUUAAAAUAUUAAAACAGCUUAUUUACACUUUAGCCUUGUCCCUACAGACAGGACUAGUCCUUAUUCACAGAGAGAAUCCCUUUGACUUCAACAGGUCAUCUCCCAUGGAUCAUGUGAGCAAGGAUUUGUGUGGCAAAGUUAAAAAUUGCCAUAACGUAAAAUAAGUGAUCAUUAGGAAUGUUUUGACAAAACGUUUUAUUAUUGGAAAAUGCUGAUUUGUCAAAAACAAAGGUUCCUGUGAAAAGUUAUCAGUUUCAAUAAAACUUUCUCAUCGAGAAAGGUUUCAUGGAUCCUGGAUGGGAUUUGUGA